RNAcentral lists this ribosomal RNA (461 nucleotides) under uncultured bacterium. RNAcentral describes it as "bacterial SSU rRNA". It matches the Rfam family "Bacterial small subunit ribosomal RNA", at positions 917 to 1382 of the family's 1533-position model. The record is from RNAcentral.
GGGCCCGCACAAGCAGUGGAUUAUGUGGUUUAAUUCGAAGCAACGCGAAGAACCUUACCAGGGCUUGACAUGGAGAUGACCGCACUAGAGAUAGUGUUUUCCCUUCGGGGACAUCUCACACAGGUGGUGCAUGGUUGUCGUCAGCUCGUGUCGUGAGAUGUUGGGUUAAGUCCCGCAACGAGCGCAACCCUUAUUGCUAGUUGCUACGCAAGAGCACUCUAGCGAGACUGCCGUUGACAAAACGGAGGAAGGUGGGGACGACGUCAAAUCAUCAUGCCCCUUAUGUCCUGGGCUACACACGUAAUACAAUGGCAUUUAACAGAGGGAAGCGAAGGAGCGAUCUGGAGCAAAUCCCUAAAAGGUGUCUCAGUUCGGAUUGCAGGCUGCAACUCGCCUGUAUGAAGUCGGAAUUGCUAGUAAUCGCGGAUCAGCACGCCGCGGUGAAUACGUUCCCGGGCCUU